This 853-nucleotide ribosomal RNA is filed under the name Halobacterium sp. UJ-EY1. RNAcentral describes it as "bacterial SSU rRNA". It matches the Rfam family "Archaeal small subunit ribosomal RNA", at positions 36 to 890 of the family's 1478-position model. Lineage: Archaea; Methanobacteriati; Methanobacteriota; Halobacteria; Halobacteriales; Halobacteriaceae. The record is from RNAcentral.
GAGUCCGAUUUAGCCAUGCUAGUUGUGCGGGUUUAGACCCGCAGCGGAAAGCUCAGUAACACGUGGCCAAACUACCCUGUGGAUGGGAACAAUCUCGGGAAACUGAGGCUAAUUCCCAAUAACGCUCCGCCCCUGGAACGGGCAGAGCUGGAAACGCUACGGCGCCACAGGAUGUGGCUGCGGUCGAUUAGGUAGACGGUGGGGUAACGGCCCACCGUGCCAAUAAUCGGUACGGGUUGUGAGAGCAAGAGCCCGGAGACGGAAUCUGAGACAAGAUUCCGGGCCCUACGGGGCGCAGCAGGCGCGAAACCUUUACACUGUACGCAAGUGCGAUAAGGGGACUCCGAGUGUGAAGGCAUAGAGCCUUCACUUUUGUACACCGUAAGGUGGUGUACGAAUAAGGGCUGGGCAAGACCGGUGCCAGCCGCCGCGGUAAUACCGGCAGCCCGAGUGAUGGCCGAUAUUAUUGGGCCUAAAGCGUCCGUAGCUGGCCGGACAAGUCCGUUGGGAAAUCUGUUCGCUUAACGAGCAGGCGUCCAGCGGAAACUGUUCGGCUUGGGACCGGAAGACCUGAGGGGUACGUCCGGGGUAGGAGUGAAAUCCUGUAAUCCUGGACGGACCACCGGUGGCGAAAGCGCCUCAGGAGGACGGAUCCGACAGUGAGGGACGAAAGCUAGGGUCUCGAACCGGAUUAGAUACCCGGGUAGUCCUAGCUGUAAACGAUGCCCGCUAGGUGUGGCGCAGGCUACGAGCCUGCGCUGUGCCGUAGGGAAGCCGAGAAGCGGGCCGCCUGGGAAGUACGUCUGCAAGGAUGAAACUUAAAGGAAUUGGCGGGGGAGCACUACAACCGGAG